GACGAACGCUGGCGGCGUGCUUAACACAUGCAAGUCGAGCGGUAAGGCCCUUUCGGGGGUACACGAGCGGCGAACGGGUGAGUAACACGUGGGUUACCUGCCCUCAGCUCUGGGAUAAGCCCGGGAAACUGGGUCUAAUACCGGAUAUGACUCCAUGACGCAUGUUGCGGGGUGAAAGCCUUGUGCGGCUGAGGAUGGGCCCGCGGCCUA
RNAcentral lists this ribosomal RNA (210 nucleotides) under uncultured bacterium. RNAcentral describes it as "partial 16S ribosomal RNA". It matches the Rfam family "Bacterial small subunit ribosomal RNA", at positions 28 to 240 of the family's 1533-position model. The record is from RNAcentral.